AGAGUUUGAUCAUGGCUCAGGAUGAACGCUAGCGGGAGUAACACAUGCAAGUCGAGGGGCAGCACGAGGUAGCAAUACUUUGGUGGCGACCGGCGCACGGGUGAGUAACGCGUAUGUAACCUACCUUGUACAGGGGGAUAGCCCGGAGAAAUUCGGAUUAAUACCCCAUAAAGAUAUUUUGGGGCAUCUUAAGAUAUUUAAAGUUUCGACGGUACGGGAUGGGCAUGCGUAACAUUAGCUAGUUGGUAGGGUAAUGGCCUACCAAGGCUACGAUGUUUAGGGGUCCUGAGAGGGUGAUCCCCCACACUGGUACUGAGACACGGACCAGACUCCUACGGGAGGCAGCAGUGAGGAAUAUUGGUCAAUGGGCGCAAGCCUGAACCAGCCAUCCCGCGUGCAGGAAGACGGCGCUAUGCGUUGUAAACUGCUUUUCCAGGGGAAGAAAACCCGCUACGAGUAGCGGCUUGCCGGUACCCUGGGAAUAAGCAUCGGCUAACUCCGUGCCAGCAGCCGCGGUAAUACGGAGGAUGCGAGCGUUAUCCGGAUUUAUUGGGUUUAAAGGGUGCGUAGGCGGAUUAAUAAGUCAGUGGUGAAAACCUGCAGCUUAACUGUAGAACUGCCAUUGAUACUGUUAGUCUUGAGUACGGUCAAGGUAGGCGGAAUGUGUAAUGUAGCGGUGAAAUGCUUAGAUAUUACACAGAACACCGAUUGCGAAGGCAGCUUACUGGGCCAUUACUGACGCUGAUGCACGAAAGCGUGGGGAGCGAACAGGAUUAGAUACCCUAGUAGUCC
RNAcentral lists this ribosomal RNA (792 nucleotides) under uncultured bacterium. RNAcentral's name for it is "bacterial SSU rRNA". It matches the Rfam family "Bacterial small subunit ribosomal RNA", at positions 8 to 796 of the family's 1533-position model. The record is from RNAcentral.